This is a long non-coding RNA of Alligator mississippiensis (American alligator), 429 nucleotides long. RefSeq lists it as uncharacterized. The transcript has 3 exons. The record is from RefSeq and is a predicted model, not a curated record. Lineage: Eukaryota; Metazoa; Chordata; Crocodylia; Alligatoridae.
CUCUGCUCCCUUUCCCCCCUCCAGUUCUGAAACCAGCGUGGGCUGGAGCUGCACAUCUGUCUGCAUCCUUUACUGUCAAGACCACCUUAUUCUUCGUGGCUGUAUGGGAAGGAGUGUCCUCAAAAGCAGGAAGAAGCAACAAGGCUUUCUGGUUUGGUAGGUUGAAUAGUUCUUCCUCAUUUAGAUCGGAAGCAUAGAGUACAUUAAAGCCUGGAAGUCUGAAGAGCAAUAAGGGAAAGGAGAUGAUGGACCUUUUCCUAAGGAUGGAUUGACCCAAGGUGUCCCACCUGACACAGUUUGAUUCUUCGGGAGUAAGAAGCCUCCAGCAGAUCCGGCUGCAGGCCUGUGCACGUGGGAGACACUAAUAGACUGAUUAAAGUUCAUCCCCCAUCUCUACGCCUGUGAGGUACAUGUCAGUUGACAGGUUUG